GAUGAACGCUGGCGGCGUGCCUAAUACAUGCAAGUCGAGCGAACAGACGAGGAGUUUGCUCCUCAGACGUUAGCGGCGGACGGGUGAAUCACACGUGGAUAACCUACCUAUCAGACUGGGAUAACUUCGGGAAACCGGCUCUUAUACCGGAUAAUAUAUUGCACCGCAUUGUUCUAUAGUGAAAGACGGUUUUGGUGUCACUUCUAGAUGGAUCCGCGCCGAAUUAGCUAGUUGGUAUGGUAACGGCUUACCAAGGCAACGAUGGGUAGCCGCCCUGAGAGGGUGAUCGGACACACUGGAACUGAGACACGGUACAGACUCCUACGGGAGGCAGCAGUAGGGAAUCUUCCGCAAUGGGCGAAAGCCUGACGGAGCAACGCCGCGUGAGUGAUGAAGGUCUUCGGAUCGUAAAACUCUGUUAUUAGGGAAGAACAAAUGUGUAAGUAACUAUGCACGUCUUGACGGUACCUAAUCAGAAAGCCACGGCUAACUACGUG
This 497-nucleotide ribosomal RNA is filed under the name uncultured bacterium. RNAcentral describes it as "partial 16S ribosomal RNA". It matches the Rfam family "Bacterial small subunit ribosomal RNA", at positions 28 to 507 of the family's 1533-position model. The record is from RNAcentral.